Molecule: ribosomal RNA, 1113 nt
Filed under: Bacillota bacterium
Lineage: Bacteria; Bacillati; Bacillota
Description: bacterial SSU rRNA
Rfam family: Bacterial small subunit ribosomal RNA
Source: RNAcentral
AGAGUUUGAUCCUGGCUCAGGACGAACGCUGGCGGCGUGCUUAACACAUGCAAGUCGAGCGAAGGAAUACUUAGGAAGCCUUCGGGAAGAAUACGUAUUUCUUAGCGGCGGACGGGUGAGUAACGCGUGAGGAAUCUGCCUCGCACAAGGGGAUAGCCUCGGGAAACCGGGAUUAAUACCCUAUGAUACUUACACUGCGCAUGCAGAGUAAGUUAAAGGAUAUCGGUGUGAGAUGGCCUCGCGUCCCAUUAGCUUGUUGGCAGGGUAAAAGCCUACCAAGGCGACGAUGGGUAGCCGGCCUGAGAGGGUGAACGGCCACAUUGGAACUGAGACACGGUCCAGACUCCUACGGGAGGCAGCAGUGGGGAAUAUUGCACAAUGGAGGGAACUCUGAUGCAGCAACGCCGCGUGAGCGAAGAAGGUUUUAGGAUCGUAAAGCUCUGUCCUAGGGGAAGAUAAUGACGGUACCCGAGGAGGAAGCCCCGGCUAACUACGUGCCAGCAGCCGCGGUAAUACGUAGGGGGCGAGCGUUGUCCGGAAUUAUUGGGCGUAAAGGGUGCGUAGGCGGCUGAAUAAGUCAGAUGUGAAAGGUUAAGGCUUAACUUUAAUAAGCAUAUGAAACUGUUCAGCUUGAGUUAAGGAGAGGGGAGUGGAAUUCCUAGUGUAGCGGUGAAAUGCGUAGAUAUUAGGAGGAAUACCAGUGGCGAAGGCGACUCUCUGGACUUAAACUGACGCUGAGGCACGAAAGCGUGGGGAGCAAACAGGAUUAGAUACCCUGGUAGUCCACGCCGUAAACGAUGAGUGCUAGGUGUUGGGUGUCAAAGCUCAGUGCCGCAGCUAACGCAAUAAGCACUCCGCCUGGGGAGUACGAUGGCAACAUUGAAACUCAAAGGAAUUGACGGGGACCCGCACAAGCAGCGGAGCAUGUGGUUUAAUUCGAUGCAACGCGAAGAACCUUACCAAGGCUUGACAUCCCUCUGAGAUAGGUAGAGAUACUUAUGGCUUUUAGGAGACAGAGGAGACAGGUGGUGCAUGGUUGUCGUCAGCUCGUGUCGUGAGAUGUUGGGUUAAGUCCCGCAACGAGCGCAACCCUUACUUUUAGUUACUAACAGG